RNAcentral lists this small RNA (104 nucleotides) under Serratia symbiotica SCt-VLC. RNAcentral's name for it is "Listeria sRNA rli38". The record is from RNAcentral. Lineage: Bacteria; Pseudomonadati; Pseudomonadota; Gammaproteobacteria; Enterobacterales; Yersiniaceae.
GUUGAGCUUGUAAAAGAUGAAGUUAGCAUCGUGAUCUGGCUGAAAAUUUCAGUGUACAACAACCAAAGCUCCUGCGUAAAAUAUUGUUACGCAGGAGCUUUUUA